ACUGUGGCCAGAUGCGGGCUUUCUGCUCCCGUAGCCAGCCACGUGUCCUAGGACGCGCUCUUCCUCCGAGGCCCCGCAGAGCGCUCGGUCUCCGGCAGCAGAGGACGCACAGCCUGUGUCCUAGCAUCCACCCCUCCCGACCUGCUGCGGGACGUGGACCGCUAGGUAAAAAGACGAAAGUUGUUCCCGUGCGCCGCCACCCUCACAGCCGGUUGGUGCCAACGCGUUGGAAAAAGUGUUGGGUUGCACAACCCGCAGGGAGGCUUCAGCUCCACACCAAUGGCUUCUCGCGGAGCAGGCUGCUGGCGGAGGCCGUGGGCACCUCCCUCGGCGGCCGCGACCUGCCGAAGGGAUGCUUCCCGGACUCCGCGAUUGGAGGGUUCUGCACCUGCGCGGUCCAAUAAGGCAGGCUGUAGCCACGUGUGUCAGCUGAGCCCUUGAAAGGUGUUGGGGACCCGGUGCUCUGAUCCCCAGAGCUGACACAAAGAUUAUUUUAUGCUGGAGACGUUUGAGAUUCAACAGAUGCCGAUAAAAGCUUCCUGGGAGCUUCCUUUAUCGGACUAAAAGCAACUUCUGGGAAAUGAGGGUACCAUAAAUUCCCUCUUGCGAGACGUUUUAUGGCUCUGAAGACUCCGAAAAACCGCUCUAACCUACACUGACAAACAUUUUCACAAACGUUUUUUUUUGUUUUCCUUUCCUUUCCUUUUUCUUUCUGCAGUGCUGGGGAUCACACCCAGGGCUUUGUGCAAGCUAGGAAAGCUCUUGACCGCUGAGCCACAUCUCUGAGCCACAUCCCGGAGCUGUGUUUUCACAAGCUUUCUUAUCUCCUGCUCUUUCAGACUCAUUUGUCUUUCCUCUAGAAAACUAUUUAUUUUUCCUAUUGAAGUCCUUUCUUCCCCCUCCCUUUUACCUACUAAAUUAAGUAUACGAGUCUGUAUAAGCCUUUAACCAUUUAAGGAGCCAGCUAUUUCCUUUCUGGCUUCUUGUAAAUCUGCCUUUGCACGUUGAAUUUGCAGGCCCCAGUCGGAGAAUGUAAGAUGGAGGGAAAAAAAUGUUUUCCUUCUGUGCAGUGGCUAGUACGCAGAGAUAGGUGCUGUUAGAUGUAAAAAAAUAUAAACGUGCAAAUGUUUCAAAGAUUUAUGAAACUAAAGAAAGUAAGAUAUCUCAUUAAUACUUGUGCAUACCUAUAAUCCCAGUUACUCAGAAGGCUGAGGCAGGAAGAUCACAAGUUCAACACCAGCCUCAGCAAUUUAGUGAGACUCUGCAUAACUUAGAAUCCUUUAAAUCAAAUUUUAAAAUAAAUAAAUAAAAAUAAAAAAGACUAUGGAUGUAGCUCAGUGGUAAAGCACCCCUGGGAUCAGUCUCAAGUACCACAAAACAAAAAACCAGAAACACAAAUUGUAUUUUGAUUAUACAUUGAAAUGGUCAAUUUUGAUCAACUGGGUUAAAAUAAAUAUGUUACCAUGAUUAAUUUUACUUUAAAAAAAAAACUUUCUUAAAAUCUAUUUGAAAAUCUCAAAUAAGAUGUUAGCUCAUGGAUGUGUAACCGAUGUGAUUCUGCAAUCUGUAUUUGGGGUAAAAAUGGGAGUUCAUAACCCACUUGAAUCUAAUGUAUGAAAUAUGAUAUGUCAAGAGCUUUGUAAUGUUUUGAACAACCAAUAAAAAAAAAAUCCAAGAAAAAAAAAAAAAAGAUGUUAGCUCAGCUGGGCAUGGUAGUGCACAUCUGUAAUCCCAGCUCCUUGGAAGGCUGAGGCAGGAGGAUCACAGGUUCAAGGCCAGCCUGGGCAACUUAG
Molecule: long non-coding RNA, 1793 nt
Filed under: Marmota monax (woodchuck)
Lineage: Eukaryota; Metazoa; Chordata; Mammalia; Rodentia; Sciuridae
Source: RNAcentral